Cicer arietinum (chickpea) is the source of this 378-nucleotide non-coding RNA. The record is from RefSeq and is a predicted model, not a curated record. NCBI's taxonomy places the organism in Eukaryota, Viridiplantae, Streptophyta, Magnoliopsida, Fabales, Fabaceae.
GGAACUCUAACUUCUGCUACUACUUGUUUGACAGGACCUGAUGGUGAUGCCACAUUAUGUCGAGGUUUAGUUUUUGGUGUAGAUUCUAUCAUUGGUAGCUGUUGGCAUGGAUUGAUACACAAGAAAUAAGGAAUUAAGGGUUGCUUUUGAAGUUUUUGCAUUGACAUUGCUGGAGCUAUUUCCUUCUCCACCAAGCAUGAAAAGAUCAGACCCAUCAUCAUUAAUCGAUGCCAGGAGAAGAGGCUGUUGGAGGACAGAGAGAUGAACAAUAUUGGUGAACAUAAGGCUGCAAAUAAGGGUGCUUUAAGAUUUCGGAUGCCUGUGAGAUACAUAAAAUGAAAAUUUUCAGAUGCUGCCUACCGGAAACCAAUGGCAUUC